RNAcentral lists this ribosomal RNA (371 nucleotides) under uncultured bacterium. RNAcentral describes it as "bacterial SSU rRNA". It matches the Rfam family "Bacterial small subunit ribosomal RNA", at positions 527 to 896 of the family's 1533-position model. The record is from RNAcentral.
AGAGGGUGCAAACGUUGUUCGGAAUUACUGGGCGUAAAGCGUGUGUAGGCGGCUACGUAAGUCGGAUGUGAAAGCCCCAGGCUCAACCUGGGAAGUGCACUCGAUACUGCGUAGCUUGAGUAUCGGAGAGGUUGGUGGAAUUCUCGGUGUAGAGGUGAAAUUCGUAGAUAUCGAGAGGAACACCGGUGGCGAAGGCGGCCAACUGGACGAAUACUGACGCUGAGACACGAAAGCGUGGGGAGCAAACAGGAUUAGAUACCCUGGUAGUCCACGCCGUAAACGAUGGGUGCUAGGUGUCACGGGCUUUGACUCCUGUGGUGCCGUAGCAAACGCAUUAAGCACCCCGCCUGGGAAGUACGGCCGCAAGGCUA